CGACCGGCGCACGGGUGCGUAACGCGUAUGCAACCUACCUUUAACAGGGGGAUAACACUGAGAAAUUGGUACUAAUACCCCAUAAUAUCAUAGAAGGCAUCUUUUAUGGUUGAAAAUUCCGAUGGUUAGAGAUGGGCAUGCGUUGUAUUAGCUAGUUGGUGGGGUAACGGCUCACCAAGGCGACGAUACAUAGGGGGACUGAGAGGUUAACCCCCCACACUGGUACUGAGACACGAACCAG
Molecule: ribosomal RNA, 241 nt
Filed under: uncultured bacterium
Lineage: Bacteria
Description: partial 16S ribosomal RNA
Rfam family: Bacterial small subunit ribosomal RNA
Source: RNAcentral